ACCGGCUGACGAGUCUCAAAUAAGACAAAACGUACUUCCUGGAU
Molecule: non-coding RNA, 44 nt
Filed under: Schistosoma mattheei
Lineage: Eukaryota; Metazoa; Platyhelminthes; Trematoda; Strigeidida; Schistosomatidae
Source: RNAcentral